CAGUAGCCACGGUAAUACGAAGGGUGCAAGCGUUACUCGGAAUUACUGGGCGUAAAGCGUGCGUAGGUGGUGGUUUAAGUCCGUUGUGAAAGCCCUGGGCUCAACCUGGGAAUUGCAGUGGAUACUGGGUCACUAGAGUGUGGUAGAGGAUAGUGGAAUUUCCGGUGUAGCAGUGAAAUGCGUAGAGAUCGGAAGGAACAUCUGUGGCGAAGGCGACUAUCUGGGCCAACACUGACACUGAGGCACGAAAGCGUGGGGAGCAAACAGGAUUAGAUACCCCAGUAUCCCUGUCUCUUAUACA
This 301-nucleotide ribosomal RNA is filed under the name uncultured bacterium. Its description in RNAcentral is "partial 16S ribosomal RNA". It matches the Rfam family "Bacterial small subunit ribosomal RNA", at positions 509 to 809 of the family's 1533-position model. The record is from RNAcentral.